ACUCCUACGGGAGGCAGCAGUGGGGGAUAUUGCACAAUGGAGGAAACUCUGAUGCAGCGACGCCGCGUGAGGGAAGAAGGUCUUCGGAUUGUAAGGCUCUGUCAUCUGGGACGAUAAUGACGGUACCAGAGGAGGAGGCCACGGCUAACUACGUGCCAGCAGCCGCGGUAAU
RNAcentral lists this ribosomal RNA (172 nucleotides) under uncultured bacterium. RNAcentral's name for it is "partial 16S ribosomal RNA". It matches the Rfam family "Bacterial small subunit ribosomal RNA", at positions 335 to 524 of the family's 1533-position model. The record is from RNAcentral.